Molecule: long non-coding RNA, 1064 nt
Organism: Hevea brasiliensis (rubber tree)
Lineage: Eukaryota; Viridiplantae; Streptophyta; Magnoliopsida; Malpighiales; Euphorbiaceae
Exons: 4
Source: RefSeq, a predicted model, not a curated record
AUAUAUCUUAGUGCCCUAGCCAUUUCUCCCCUCACCUUCUACCCUGUCCAUUCAUCCCUUUCUAUAUGAAACUCUAUGCCAUUGCAUCCCGCAAAUUACCCAUGGUUAGACAUCUUCUUCUUCAUCAGUGUCAACUACAAAUGGACAAACCCCUCUCAACAGUCUCGACUACAACAUCAUCUUCCUGUUUGCUCCGAUUUCUUCUCACUUGCUUCACCACACGCUGUCAAGCAUGAAAGCCCAUAUUCCUUUCUUCCUUGAUCCAGCAAUGCCUAUUAUCCAUCCAGGGUCAAACAACUGAAUCUUCAACCAAUAGAAUCUUCAACUUGUUGAAUUUGUUGCUGAGAAGUUGAUUGUUACCUUCAAACAAUCGAAUUUCUGCCCCCAAGCAUAUUCUAAAGCUUUUGGUGAGGAAAUCAACAAAUUGCAUUAAUUUAUUCAGUUACAAUCAUUGAUUAAUCUUGCUGAUUUUGAAGAAAACUAUUGUCAAGUUGAACAAUGGCUCUAGUGGUUUAUUGCUAAAGAAAAAGGCAAGUUAUAGUGUAAAGAAGAAGCAACCAAGUCUUUCAUCAAGACAUUUUGCCGAGUGUUCUACGUCUGGUUCCUCUAAUCAUGAUAUUAGAGGUUUGUUAGAGGGUUGCUGAGUCAAGCACGUGUUGAACCCAUUUAAGGUAUAUCUAGCAUGCCAAAUGAUACAUCUUUGGAGAUGGAAUCUGAAAUACCUAAUCCUCCAUUGAAUGGCAAUCAUCAAGUCUCAUCACAAGUACCUUUGGAUAACUUAUCUGAUAGUGUAGCUGAAAUUGAAAGCAUUGAUGCUCCACUUAUAACACUCAUCACCCGUUUAUAAUGUAGCCGAACAAAGUAUGCCACAUUCGGUGUCGGAGCACCCUAUAUUAUUUUGUCAAGUCCAUUGUUAAUUUUUAAUAUCAUUUAUUCAUGUGUGGAAAUUUUUUUUAUUUUUAUUUUUGUGGAUACCCGGGGCAGAGCCUUCUCUAUUUUAUUAGCAUCUGGUGGGUUGUAAUAUUUACUUGUCAACAUAAUAAUAUUGUACUCAUUUCCUUAUA